AGUGAACGCUGGCGGUAGGCCUAACACAUGCAAGUCGAACGGCAGCACAGUAAGAGCUUGCUCUUACGGGUGGCGAGUGGCGGACGGGUGAGGAAUACAUCGGAAUCUACUUUUUCGUGGGGGAUAACGUAGGGAAACUUACGCUAAUACCGCAUACGACCUACGGGUGAAAGCAGGGGAUCUUCGGACCUUGCGCGAUUGAAUGAGCCGAUGUCGGAUUAGCUAGUUGGCGGGGUAAAGGCCCACCAAGGCGACGAUCCGUAGCUGGUCUGAGAGGAUGAUCCGCCCCACUGGAACUGAGACACGGUCCAGCCUCCUACGGGAGGCAGCAGUGGGGAAUAUUGGACAAUGGGCGCAAGCCUGAUCCAGCCAUACCGCGUGGGUGAAGAAGGCCUUCGGGUUGUAAAGCCCUUUUGUUGGGAAAGAAAAGCAGCAGGUUAAUACCCCGCUGUUCUGACGGUACCCAAAGAAUAAGCACCGGCUAACUUCGUG
This 492-nucleotide ribosomal RNA is filed under the name uncultured bacterium. RNAcentral's name for it is "partial 16S ribosomal RNA". It matches the Rfam family "Bacterial small subunit ribosomal RNA", at positions 29 to 507 of the family's 1533-position model. The record is from RNAcentral.